This 468-nucleotide ribosomal RNA is filed under the name uncultured bacterium. Its description in RNAcentral is "partial 16S ribosomal RNA". It matches the Rfam family "Bacterial small subunit ribosomal RNA", at positions 28 to 507 of the family's 1533-position model. The record is from RNAcentral.
GACGAACGCUGGCGGCGUGCUUAACACAUGCAAGUCGAACGGAAAGGCCCUGCUUUUGUGGGGUGCUCGAGUGGCGAACGGGUGAGUAACACGUGAGUAACCUGCCCUUGACUUUGGGAUAACUUCAGGAAACUGGGGCUAAUACCGGCUAGGAGCUCCUGCUGCAUGGUGGGGGUUGGACAGUUUCGGCGGGUGGGGCUGGACUCGCGGCUUAUCAGCUUGUUGGUGGGGUAUGGGUUUACCACGGCUCUGCCGGGUAGGCCGCCUGGGAGGGUGACCGGCGACAUUGGGACUGCGGGAGGGCGCAGACUGGUACGGGAGGCAGCAGUGGGGAAUAUUGCACAAUGGGCGCACGCCUGAUGCAGCAACGCCGCGUUCGGGAUGACGGCCUUGGGGUUGUAAACGGCUUUCGCCUGUGACGAAGCGUGAGUGACGGUAAUGGGUAAAGAAGCACCGGCUAACUACGUG